CGCUGGCGGCACGCUUAACACAUGCAAGUCGAACGGAGAUAUUUGGUUACUGAGAUAGUCUAGUGGCGGACGGGUGAGUAACACGUGAGCAACCUGCCUUUGAGAGAGGGAUAGCUUCUGGAAACGGAUGGUAAUACCUCAUGACAUACUUUUAUCGCAUGGUAGAAGUAUCAAAGAUUUAUCACUCAGAGAUGGGCUCGCGUCUGAUUAGCUAGUUGGUGAGGUAACGGCUCACCAAGGCGACGAUCAGUAGCCGGACUGAGAGGUUGAACGGCCACAUUGGGACUGAGACACGGCCCAGACUCCUACGGGAGGCAGCAGUGGGGAAUAUUGCACAAUGGGGGAAACCCUGAUGCAGCGAUGCCGCGUGGAGGAAGAAGGUUUUCGGAUUGUAAACUCCUGUCUUAAAGGACGAUAAUGACGGUACUUUAGGAGGAAGCUCCGGCUAACUACGUGCCAGCCGCCGC
Molecule: ribosomal RNA, 467 nt
Filed under: uncultured bacterium
Lineage: Bacteria
Description: bacterial SSU rRNA
Rfam family: Bacterial small subunit ribosomal RNA
Source: RNAcentral